GACGAACGCUGGCGGCGUGCUAACACAUGCAAGUCGAACGGUAAGGCCCUUCGGGGUACACGAGUGGCGAACGGGUGAGUAACACGUGGGUGAUCUGCCCUGCACUUCGGGAUAAGCCUGGGAAACUGGGUCUAAUACCGGAUAGGACCACUGCCUGCAUGGGUGGUGGUGGAAAGCUUUUGCGGUGUGGGAUGGGCCCGCGGCCUAUCAGCUGGUUGGUGGGGUGAUGGCCUACCAAGGCGACGACGGGUAGCCGGCCUGAGAGGGUGACCGGCCACACUGGGACGGAGAUACGGCCCAGACUCCUACGGGAGGCAGCAGUGGGGAAUAUUGCACAAUGGGCGCAAGCCUGAUGCAGCGACGCCGCGUGAGGGAUGACGGCCUUCGGGUUGUAAACCUCUUUCAGCACCGACGAAGCGCAAGUGACGGUAGGUGCAGAAGAAGGACCGGCCAACUACGUGCCAGCCGCCGCAGUAA
This 477-nucleotide ribosomal RNA is filed under the name uncultured bacterium. RNAcentral's name for it is "partial 16S ribosomal RNA". It matches the Rfam family "Bacterial small subunit ribosomal RNA", at positions 28 to 523 of the family's 1533-position model. The record is from RNAcentral.